GGGUUGUGAGGUUAAGCGACUAAGCGUACACGGUGGAUGCCCUGGCAGUCAGAGGCGAUGAAGGACGUGCUAAUCUGCGAUAAGCGUCGGUAAGGUGAUAUGAACCGUUAUAACCGGCGAUUUCCGAAUGGGGAAACCCAGUGUGAUUCGUCACACUAUCAUUAACUGAAUCCAUAGGUUAAUGAGGCGAACCGGGGGAACUGAAACAUCUAAGUACCCCGAGGAAAAGAAAUCAACCGAGAUUCCCCCAGUAGCGGCGAGCGAACGGGGAGCAGCCCAGAGCCUGAAUCAGUGUGUGUGUUAGUGGAAGCGUCUGGAAAGGCGCGCGAUACAGGGUGACAGCCCCGUACACAAAAAUGCACAUGCUGUGAGCUCGAUGAGUAGGGCGGGACACGUGGUAUCCUGUCUGAAUAUGGGGGGACCAUCCUCCAAGGCUAAAUACUCCUGACUGACCGAUAGUGAACCAGUACCGUGAGGGAAAGGCGAAAAGAACCCCGGCGAGGGGAGUGAAAAAGAACCUGAAACCGUGUACGUACAAGCAGUGGGAGCACGCUUAGGCGUGUGACUGCGUACCUUUUGUAUAAUGGGUCAGCGACUUAUAUUCUGUAGCAAGGUUAACCGAAUAGGGGAGCCGAAGGGAAACCGAGUCUUAACUGGGCGUUAAGUUGCAGGGUAUAGACCCGAAACCCGGUGAUCUAGCCAUGGGCAGGUUGAAGGUUGGGUAACACUAACUGGAGGACCGAACCGACUAAUGUUGAAAAAUUAGCGGAUGACUUGUGGCUGGGGGUGAAAGGCCAAUCAAACCGGGAGAUAGCUGGUUCUCCCCGAAAGCUAUUUAGGUAGCGCCUCGUGAAUUCAUCUCCGGGGGUAGAGCACUGUUUCGGCAAGGGGGUCAUCCCGACUUACCAACCCGAUGCAAACUGCGAAUACCGGAGAAUGUUAUCACGGGAGACACACGGCGGGUGCUAACGUCCGUCGUGAAGAGGGAAACAACCCAGACCGCCAGCUAAGGUCCCAAAGUCAUGGUUAAGUGGGAAACGAUGUGGGAAGGCCCAGACAGCCAGGAUGUUGGCUUAGAAGCAGCCAUCAUUUAAAGAAAGCGUAAUAGCUCACUGGUCGAGUCGGCCUGCGCGGAAGAUGUAACGGGGCUAAACCAUGCACCGAAGCUGCGGCAGCGACGCUUAUGCGUUGUUGGGUAGGGGAGCGUUCUGUAAGCCUGCGAAGGUGUGCUGUGAGGCAUGCUGGAGGUAUCAGAAGUGCGAAUGCUGACAUAAGUAACGAUAAAGCGGGUGAAAAGCCCGCUCGCCGGAAGACCAAGGGUUCCUGUCCAACGUUAAUCGGGGCAGGGUGAGUCGACCCCUAAGGCGAGGCCGAAAGGCGUAGUCGAUGGGAAACAGGUUAAUAUUCCUGUACUUGGUGUUACUGCGAAGGGGGGACGGAGAAGGCUAUGUUGGCCGGGCGACGGUUGUCCCGGUUUAAGCGUGUAGGCUGGUUUUCCAGGCAAAUCCGGAAAAUCAAGGCUGAGGCGUGAUGACGAGGCACUACGGUGCUGAAGCAACAAAUGCCCUGCUUCCAGGAAAAGCCUCUAAGCAUCAGGUAACAUCAAAUCGUACCCCAAACCGACACAGGUGGUCAGGUAGAGAAUACCAAGGCGCUUGAGAGAACUCGGGUGAAGGAACUAGGCAAAAUGGUGCCGUAACUUCGGGAGAAGGCACGCUGAUAUGUAGGUGAAGUCCCUCGCGGAUGGAGCUGAAAUCAGUCGAAGAUACCAGCUGGCUGCAACUGUUUAUUAAAAACACAGCACUGUGCAAACACGAAAGUGGACGUAUACGGUGUGACGCCUGCCCGGUGCCGGAAGGUUAAUUGAUGGGGUCAGCGCAAGCGAAGCUCUUGAUCGAAGCCCCGGUAAACGGCGGCCGUAACUAUAACGGUCCUAAGGUAGCGAAAUUCCUUGUCGGGUAAGUUCCGACCUGCACGAAUGGCGUAAUGAUGGCCAGGCUGUCUCCACCCGAGACUCAGUGAAAUUGAACUCGCUGUGAAGAUGCAGUGUACCCGCGGCAAGACGGAAAGACCCCGUGAACCUUUACUAUAGCUUGACACUGAACAUUGAGCCUUGAUGUGUAGGAUAGGUGGGAGGCUUUGAAGUGUGGACGCCAGUCUGCAUGGAGCCGACCUUGAAAUACCACCCUUUAAUGUUUGAUGUUCUAACGUUGACCCGUAAUCCGGGUUGCGGACAGUGUCUGGUGGGUAGUUUGACUGGGGCGGUCUCCUCCUAAAGAGUAACGGAGGAGCACGAAGGUUGGCUAAUCCUGGUCGGACAUCAGGAGGUUAGUGCAAUGGCAUAAGCCAGCUUGACUGCGAGCGUGACGGCGCGAGCAGGUGCGAAAGCAGGUCAUAGUGAUCCGGUGGUUCUGAAUGGAAGGGCCAUCGCUCAACGGAUAAAAGGUACUCCGGGGAUAACAGGCUGAUACCGCCCAAGAGUUCAUAUCGACGGCGGUGUUUGGCACCUCGAUGUCGGCUCAUCACAUCCUGGGGCUGAAGUAGGUCCCAAGGGUAUGGCUGUUCGCCAUUUAAAGUGGUACGCGAGCUGGGUUUAGAACGUCGUGAGACAGUUCGGUCCCUAUCUGCCGUGGGCGCUGGAGAACUGAGGGGGGCUGCUCCUAGUACGAGAGGACCGGAGUGGACGCAUCACUGGUGUUCGGGUUGUCAUGCCAAUGGCACUGCCCGGUAGCUAAAUGCGGAAGAGAUAAGUGCUGAAAGCAUCUAAGCACGAAACUUGCCCCGAGAUGAGUUCUCCCUGAC
RNAcentral lists this ribosomal RNA (2802 nucleotides) under Escherichia coli. Its description in RNAcentral is "partial 23S ribosomal RNA". It matches the Rfam family "Bacterial large subunit ribosomal RNA". The record is from RNAcentral. Lineage: Bacteria; Pseudomonadati; Pseudomonadota; Gammaproteobacteria; Enterobacterales; Enterobacteriaceae.